AAGAAUGUUUUGCUCAUCCAGGAAAUCAAAGAAGAACUUACACAAUUCAUGGAAACCAAAGAGAAUGAAGACUCUUCGGUGCAAAACCUAUGG
Molecule: long non-coding RNA, 93 nt
Organism: Mustela erminea (ermine)
Lineage: Eukaryota; Metazoa; Chordata; Mammalia; Carnivora; Mustelidae
Exons: 3
Source: RefSeq, a predicted model, not a curated record